Molecule: unclassified non-coding RNA, 240 nt
Filed under: soil metagenome
Description: partial contains 5.8S ribosomal RNA, internal transcribed spacer 2, and large subunit ribosomal RNA
Source: RNAcentral
AACGGUCUAUACCUGCGGUACCUGCGGAAGGAUCAUUACCGAGUUAUCAACUCCCAAACCCCUGUGAACAUACCCGAACGUUGCCUCGGCGGGACCGCCCCGGCGCCCCUAGCGGCCCGGAACCAGGCGCCCGCCGGAGGACCCAAACUCUUGCUUUAAACAGUGGCAUACUCUCUGAGUCUCACAAACAAAAAAUAAAUCAAAACUUUCAGCAAUGGAUCUCUAGAUCGGAAGAGCACA